RNAcentral lists this ribosomal RNA (105 nucleotides) under uncultured bacterium. Its description in RNAcentral is "partial 16S ribosomal RNA". It matches the Rfam family "Bacterial small subunit ribosomal RNA", at positions 1378 to 1482 of the family's 1533-position model. The record is from RNAcentral.
CCGUUGUACACACCGCCCGUCACACCACGAAAGUUGGUAACACCCGAAGCCAGUGGCCUAACCGCAAGGAGGGAGCUGUCGAAGGUGGGAUCAGCGAUUGGGGUG